This 411-nucleotide long non-coding RNA is filed under the name Bos taurus (domestic cattle). RNAcentral describes it as "long non-coding RNA NONBTAT014275". Lineage: Eukaryota; Metazoa; Chordata; Mammalia; Artiodactyla; Bovidae. The record is from RNAcentral.
AGGAAGGUGGUGUUUUAACAGCCCCUUUGAGCAGGGAUGAUGUAGUAUCUGGCAUGCUGUGGUAGAAAGCACAGUUCUAGCUUCAAGAGAAAGCGAUAUUCAGUAUCAUUUAUGUGAGAAAGGCAAAUUCCAGAAUGGUCAGUGUUCUUGUGGGAUGCCAGUAGCAGGGGAUGUUUUGUGUUUAGAACAAGAGUAAAUGUGCAAGAGGUGUGACCUAAGCAGAUUUAUGCUCAAAUGAGUGGGAACAACCUUACAGAAAAUUUCAGUUUAGCAUGUGUACCUCUUUCCCAAAUGCUUUCUACUUGGAUUGGGGAAAAAGACACAACAAAACAAAAUAGUUAACUUUCCCCUUCAGCAUUAUACAGCACAUCCUAAAUGAAACAUGACUUUCUGAGUUACAAGCUGCCCCUG